Molecule: unclassified non-coding RNA, 232 nt
Filed under: Hevea brasiliensis (rubber tree)
Lineage: Eukaryota; Viridiplantae; Streptophyta; Magnoliopsida; Malpighiales; Euphorbiaceae
Source: RNAcentral
ACACGGGACCAAACUACUUAUGUCACAAUAUAGCUACAACUUUUUGUUGAUAUAUAAUACAACAGGUUUAAAACUUAGUGAAGAAAAAAAAUAAUGACAGUCUCACAAUAAUCUGUGGAUCAAAAUGAAUAUCACAUUAGCAUGGGGCUUUUGCAAACCAAUUGGCAAAAAUAUCACAUGCAUCUCAUAUAAACAAGCAUCACAAGCAUAACCAUCACAUCAAAUAAUGAGA